RNAcentral lists this ribosomal RNA (865 nucleotides) under uncultured crenarchaeote. RNAcentral's name for it is "bacterial SSU rRNA". It matches the Rfam family "Archaeal small subunit ribosomal RNA", at positions 21 to 865 of the family's 1478-position model. The record is from RNAcentral. Lineage: Archaea; Thermoproteati; Thermoproteota.
ACCCCACUGCUAUCGGGAUAGGACUAAGACAUGCUAGUCGCGUGCUUCAGCCAAAACGAGGCACGGCAAACAGCUCAGUAACACGUGGCUAAUCUGCCCUUAGGACAAGAAUACCCCCGGGAAACUGGGGCUAAUUCUCGAUAGGUGAAGAACUCUGGAAUGAGUCUUUGCCUAAAAGAGCUUACGUUAUGCUCGUAAGUUUCGCCUAAGGAUGAGGCCGCGACCGAUCAGGUUGUUGGUGAGGUAAUGGCUCACCAAGCCUUUUACCGGUGCGGGCCGUGAGAGCGGGAGCCCGGAGAUGGGCACUGAGACAAGGGCCCAGGCCCUACGGGGCGCAGCAGUCGCGAAAACUUUGCAAUACACGAAAGUGUGACAGGGCUAUCCCGAGUGCCAUCCGCUGAGGAAGGCUUUUACCCAGUCUAGAACGCUGGGGGAAUAAGGAGAGGGCAAGUCUGGUGUCAGCCGCCGCGGUAAUACCAGCUCUCCGAGUGGUGUGGAUGUUUAUUGGGCCUAAAGCAUCCGUAGCUGGCUAAGUAAGUCCUUUGUUAAAUCCACCGAAUUAAUCGUUGGAUCGCGGGGGAUACUGCUUGGCUAGGGGACGAGAGAGGCAGACGGUAUUUUUGGGGUAGGGGUGAAAUCCUAUAAUCCCAGGAAGACCACCAGUGGCGAAGGCUGUCUGCUAGAACGCGCCCGACGGUGAGGGAUGAAAGCUGGGGGAGCGAACCGGAUUAGAUACCCGGGUAGUCCCAGCUGUAAACGAUGCAGGCUAGGUGUUUGGACGGCCACGUGCCGUUCUAGUGCCGCAGGGAAGCUGUUAAGCCUGCCGCCUGGGGAGUACGAUCGCAAGAUUGAAACUUAAAGGAAU